GGACCACCUCCCAGAGAUGGGGAGGUGAGUAAGUGUGAAAUGGAUUCAGUUGUACACAGGAAUAUGCUCAAGCCCAAUUUGUCAGGAUAACAUUUCUGACUUCCAAGGGCAAUGUUCGCCAAAUCCUGGCAAAAUGCUUGCUGACGAUGCAUUUCUUCUUGGGAAAUGAAUUGGAGCUCUCUAAACCAGAGCAAUGCCUGCCUGAAUGCUUUUAUGACUUUGAUAGUUGCAUGUGGAUACAUUGAUGUUUCUUAUGAAAAGGACUCCAGGACCACACCCUGAGCCGAAGGCAGACGUUUAACUGCUGAGCCACCCAGGCAUCCUGAGAAAGAAAUAUUUAACUGAAUGGACAUUUAAC
RNAcentral lists this long non-coding RNA (358 nucleotides) under Vulpes vulpes (red fox). RNAcentral describes it as "lncRNA (ENSVVUG00000020816.1)". Lineage: Eukaryota; Metazoa; Chordata; Mammalia; Carnivora; Canidae. The record is from RNAcentral.